This 1262-nucleotide long non-coding RNA is filed under the name Equus caballus (horse). RNAcentral's name for it is "lncRNA (ENSECAG00000053000.1)". The record is from RNAcentral. Lineage: Eukaryota; Metazoa; Chordata; Mammalia; Perissodactyla; Equidae.
CUGUGCACUCAUACUUCCACAAAGUGGAAAGAUAAGAGGCUCAGGGUUAGAACAUAUAUAAACUCAUGCCAGUGGUGAAUGGCUUGGGCAGCUGGACAGUGGCUGGAAAGAAGAAAUAUUAGAAAAUUAGAGUCAAGUGGAUCUGGGCUAGAGCAUGUAAAUAAACAUGAGAGUGGACACAAAGUAUGAAGCUGUUUGUGUCACAUGUUAAUGAUCACCAGAGCAUCCACCAUGGAAGAGACACUAAACAACCAAGGAAACAAAAUGACUUGGCUACUUGAUGUUAGCCAGCCUUUGUCAUCAGCCACCUCAGUGUUUGCACAAUGGGUGCAUGAACAGAAUACCCACGGCGACAGGGAAUGGAGGUUGUGAGUGGACCCAAAAAGAUGAACUUCUCUUACCAAAGCUGAUCCAGCUACUGCCACUGGCAAACUCCACCUUAGUAGACAAGAAGAGGAGUCAUCAACCUGUCGGAAGUAACUGACCUUUGAUGAUGAGGAAGAAGUGGGAGUGCUGUUAAGCGGGAGGACAGGGAGGAUAUGCUUGGUGCCCGGGAGAUCCACUUGGAUGCCUCUUGGUCUGCUGGCAUCCAGGGUGAGGUGUUCCAGAAUGUACGUGAAGAAGUGGAUCUGAGCCGCACAAGACAAAACUGCUGUGAAAACCCUGGUCUCUUCGUUCUCUCUCACUGCAAGCUUCACUUUGGCUUUCUCCAAAUUGAAGGAAACGUGGCUGCCAAAAACGCUAAAGCUCACUGACAUCCUACAGACUUUGCCACCACAACGGUGAAGAAACUGGGUCUCAAAUCAGUGUUCCUAAGAACCAAAUAAAUACUAGUCGAAGUGAAAGUGAAGUUUCAGCCAGGAAGGUCAACAGACGUCUUCAAGAGUGCUUUGAAAACAAGUGGGAAGAAAAUUACCUCCUUGUGGAAAACCUACGGGGCCCUGUCACCUGGAAUAGGUCUAUGAUUUUGGUUUUCACUCAGGCCUCAUUUCCCUUAUAAGAAGAAUGAAAUAAGCUAAUGCAUAAAAGUGGCUUAGCAGACGGCCUGCCACAUGGUCAACUUAAAUAAAAAUGAUUAUUUGCUCUAGGGGGAUUUGGUGAGAUAAUUGUCAAUAAUUGAGAAAUAAGGGAAAUAAGAUUUUUUUCUGAUACUUAACCUUGAAAUUAAAUUCAAAUAAAUGGUGGAACAUUCAUACAAUAUAAUAAUACAUACCUGUUAAAAUGAUAACAUACAUUUGUAGUUAUUGAUAUGGAAAAAGGUC